CAAGAUUCCUGUGCUCGACCAUCAUUUACAGACGUGUGUCCCUGAAUCCGUGGCAGCAUGGGGAGCUGGUGGAGAAGGAGAACUGGCUACCUCCGGGUCCCAUCACCAUUGGGAUUACUUCAGGCGCAUCCACCCCAGAUAAGGUAACUCGCGGACCCCUGAUAUUUUUUUCCAUUUCAUUAGGAAAAUUUUCACACUUUACUAAAAAUAAAAAAAAGAAAUGGCUGAAUGCCCCCAUCGGGGUACAUCUAAAUUAGGCUAUUAGCUUUUAUCGGUCGUUGUUGCAUUGGGCCUGGCUUCCUCGUUUCGCAUGCUCUUUAUGAUUAUGCUGGUUUGAACAUUGUUCUUCCCAUAUUUUAUGCCUACUAAUGACCUCAUCCCUGCCAAUAUUAUUUCUUCAUCCACCUCCCCUCGUUCAUGGCUACAUGAUAAGUAAAAUAAAUAAAAAAAUAAAAAAACCAGGACCUAAAGUGAUUUUGCAGGAUAUUUUCUCUGCGGUGGGACUGAAUCUUAAAAAGAAAGAAGAAAAGGAAUCUCAUGACCUGCGUAAAAUCAUACAAUUGGCGGCUUGGCAGCUCCGAAAUGAGCUGGGCCGCCGCCGACCUGCCAGGUCAAACACCAUUGAAACAAAACCUGCAUCAGAUUCAGAUCAGAGGGGGGCUUCUUUUUCUUUCCGGACACGAUGAUCUUGAGACCCGACUCGAAGAAAACUCAAGUCGGCUGGACCCCGGGCACUCCCCCUCCUUCUCAUCUACUCCCAUGAACAUGCAGGACUUAUGAGCUUCCGCCGCCAUGAUCCUUGUGCAGGUUGUCGAGGAUGUUCUCGUGAAGGUCUUCGACAUCAAGCGCCUGGAAGUUCUGGAGGUGGCCUGAGCAGGAGAGCCUCCGGCGCGGCUACGGCUGUCCCGGUUUGUGUGUACAGUGCGUCUCUCAGACGAGUAGAAGAGCCGCCGACUUUCUUGGCUUCUACAUUGAUCAGAUCCCCGCUGAAGCGGGUCACUAGUCUCAUUAAAAGGCUUGGUCAACUCCUAUUGCUCCGCAUCCCGGCCGUCCAUUUGUCGUUGACCGGAGAUCUGAGGUCUCGAUAGGUCCCUGUCUGAGCUGGGCCGUCGGGUUCAACCUAAUUCUUUCUGGGUUUGGGCUCCGAAUAUCAUGUCUGAAAGCAAUGCUGCGGCCAU
RNAcentral lists this long non-coding RNA (1178 nucleotides) under Spirodela polyrhiza (greater duckweed). RNAcentral describes it as "long non-coding RNA (SPOL_LNC001939)". The record is from RNAcentral. Lineage: Eukaryota; Viridiplantae; Streptophyta; Magnoliopsida; Alismatales; Araceae.